This 465-nucleotide ribosomal RNA is filed under the name uncultured bacterium. Its description in RNAcentral is "partial 16S ribosomal RNA". It matches the Rfam family "Bacterial small subunit ribosomal RNA", at positions 28 to 507 of the family's 1533-position model. The record is from RNAcentral.
GACGAACGCUGGCGGCGUGCUUAACACAUGCAAGUCGUACGGUAAGGCCCUUUCGGGGGUACACGAGUGGCGAACGGGUGAGUAACACGUGAGUAACCUGCCCACAACUUUGGGAUAACGCUAGGAAACUGGUGCUAAUACUGGAUAUGUGCUCCUGCUGCAUGGUGGGGGUUGGAAAGCUCCGGCGGUUGUGGAUGGACUCGCGGCCUAUCAGCUUGUUGGUGGGGUAGUGGCCUACCAAGGCGGCGACGGGUAGCCGGCCUGAGAGGGUGACCGGCCACAUUGGGACUGAGAUACGGCCCAGACUCCUACGGGAGGCAGCAGUGGGGAAUAUUGCACAAUGGGCGCAAGCCUGAUGCAGCAACGCCGCGUGCUGGAUGACGGCCUUCGGGUUGUAAACCGCUUUCAGCAGGGACGAAGCUUUUUGUGACGGUACCUGCAGAAGAAGCACCGGCUAACUACGUG